This is a long non-coding RNA of Rhagoletis zephyria (snowberry fruit fly), 467 nucleotides long. RefSeq lists it as uncharacterized. Lineage: Eukaryota; Metazoa; Arthropoda; Insecta; Diptera; Tephritidae. The record is from RefSeq and is a predicted model, not a curated record.
AGAAAACUUAUGGAAUUGUUUGAAAAUGCCACUGUUCAAUUGGGAAGAUUCGCCCAAUCGCAUGCAAGACCUUGGUCAUGGCGUUGUGGAAAACCGGUGCGCGUUCUCAGUAGAUUUCAUCUAAAACCUGUGCGAAAGUAUCCCGAGAGGACCAUAAAAGCUAAAAUAUUCAAAUUGGUUAUGGCCAAUUUAUUAAAAAGUCAAGCAAAUGGUAAAAUUUUCUGUCAGUUGCAAAACUGGAACAAUCUAGUUGCUACGUUUUUUUGCAAUGUUCUUCUUUAUCUGCUUGUAUUAAUUAUUGUUUUUUAUGGCCUUCUGAUGAAAUAAACAUUGGAAAUGUGAAUUCCGAAACUAGAUUACAAAAAAGUCUUCAUAUAUUGCGAAUAUAUCGCAAGAAAAUUCACAUUAUGUAUUACUCUUCCGGUUUUGCUCCUCAGUGUAUAUGCACUAAGUAACGAAUAAUAAAA